Molecule: transfer RNA, 69 nt
Filed under: Mecynorhina polyphemus
Lineage: Eukaryota; Metazoa; Arthropoda; Insecta; Coleoptera; Scarabaeidae
Description: tRNA-Trp
Source: RNAcentral
AAGGAUUUAAGUUAAUUAAACUAAGAACCUUCAAAGUUCUAAAUAAAGGCCCGCCCCCUUUAAGCCUUG